GACGAACGCUGGCGGCGUGCUUAACACAUGCAAGUCGAACGGAAAGGCCCUGCUCUUGUGGGGUGCUCGAGUGGCGAACGGGUGAGUAACACGUGAGUAACCUGCCCUUGACUUUGGGAUAACUUCAGGAAACUGGGGCUAAUACCGGAUAGGAGCUCCUGCUGCAUGGUGGGGGUUGGACAGUUUCGGCGGUUGGGGAUGGACUCGCGGCUUAUCAGCUUGAUGGUGGGGUAGUGGCUUACCAAGGCUUUGACGGGUAGCCGGCCUGAGAGGGGGACCGGCCACAUGAGGACUGAGAUACGGACCAGAGUCCUACGGGGGGCAACAGGGGGGAAUAUUGCACAAUGGGCGGAAGCCUGAUGCAGCAACGCCGCGUGCGGGAUGACGGCCUUCGGGUUGUAAACCGCUUUCGCCUGUGACGAAGCGUGAGUGACGGUAAUGGGUAAAGAAGCACCGGCUAACUACGUG
Molecule: ribosomal RNA, 468 nt
Filed under: uncultured bacterium
Lineage: Bacteria
Description: partial 16S ribosomal RNA
Rfam family: Bacterial small subunit ribosomal RNA
Source: RNAcentral